Molecule: ribosomal RNA, 817 nt
Filed under: Salegentibacter sp. MED445
Lineage: Bacteria; Pseudomonadati; Bacteroidota; Flavobacteriia; Flavobacteriales; Flavobacteriaceae
Description: bacterial SSU rRNA
Rfam family: Bacterial small subunit ribosomal RNA
Source: RNAcentral
AGUCGAGGGGCAGCACGUUCUUCGGAUGGUGGCGACCGGCGCACGGGUGCGUAACGCGUAUACAAUCUACCUUUUACAGGGGCAUAGCCCGGGGAAACCCGGAUUAAUAUCCCAUAGUACUAUUGAAUGGCAUCAUUUAAUGGUUAAAGUUUCGGCGGUAAAAGAUGAGUAUGCGUUCUAUUAGCUAGAUGGUAAGGUAACGGCUUACCAUGGCUACGAUAGAUAGGGGUCCUGAGAGGGAGAUCCCCCACACUGGUACUGAGACACGGACCAGACUCCUACGGGAGGCAGCAGUGAGGAAUAUUGGACAAUGGGCGAGAGCCUGAUCCAGCCAUGCCGCGUGCAGGAAGACUGCCCUAUGGGUUGUAAACUGCUUUUAUACGGGAAGAAACACUCCUUCGUGAAGGAGCUUGACGGUACCGUAUGAAUAAGGAUCGGCUAACUCCGUGCCAGCAGCCGCGGUAAUACGGAGGAUCCAAGCGUUAUCCGGAAUCAUUGGGUUUAAAGGGUCCGUAGGCGGGGUAAUAAGUCAGUGGUGAAAGUCUGCAGCUCAACUGUAGAACUGCCAUUGAUACUGUUAUCCUUGAGUAAUUAUGAAGUGGUUAGAAUAUGUAGUGUAGCGGUGAAAUGCAUAGAUAUUACAUAGAAUACCGAUUGCGAAGGCAGAUCACUAAUAAUUUACUGACGCUGAUGGACGAAAGCGUAGGUAGCGAACAGGAUUAGAUACCCUGGUAGUCUACGCCGUAAACGAUGGUUACUAGCUGUUUGGACCGAUUGAGGUCUGAGUGGCUAAGCGAAAGUGAUAAGUAACCCACCU